Molecule: long non-coding RNA, 897 nt
Organism: Capsicum annuum
Lineage: Eukaryota; Viridiplantae; Streptophyta; Magnoliopsida; Solanales; Solanaceae
Exons: 2
Source: RefSeq, a predicted model, not a curated record
AGGCCAGAGAGAAAAAGAAGCAUGGAAACCGGGAAAGGCCAUUUAGGCCCAAAGAUCCAGCCCAACCCAAAUUAGUCUCCCCUCCUGAAACCAAAAAAUCCAAGGGAUCUUCACCAAUCAAACAAACAGAUCCCCAAAAUCAGCACAUCAAAUUUCAUCAAUGGCGUCGCCAGGCAAAUCGAUGAUUCAAACCCUAAAGCGGUUCAUGAAGAAGCCAUGGGAGUUCACUGGUCCCCAAACAAGUCCCGAGUAUUUAGAUUCUAUACCCAAAGCAACGGAGUACAGAGUCUUCUCUCCUGCCACUCCCAAAUUUCAGGCCAUUGUCCCUACGUCCAAUCCCGAAACGGUUUUCGAUAUCAAGUAUCACACUCGUGAUCAGAGGCGUAAUCGCCCUCCAAUCAAGCGCACCUUUCUCAACAAAGCUGAUGUUGAGAAGAUGAGGAUGGAGUAUAAGUUUGACGUUAAUGAUUUUCCUAAGCCCUAUUUGACUGCUAAGGUUGUUGAGGAUGAUAAUGCUAUUGGUGGUGGCUACCAGAAAUAAAGGCUGUGUAUUUGCGGCGAAGACUCCAGUUGCUGUCAAUAAUCGCAGCUGAUGAUGUUUGCAGUGUCAACCAAGUGUAUUGCAAAUGUACUCCCUUUUUUUAACAUGUUGAGAUAUAUAUUCUUGGAGCAAUUUGGUUUUAAAGUGAAAAGUUUCACCCAUUGAAUAAUUUUGUCCAUUUAGCUUAUGCAGAUUGUUCCCUGCCUUGUGUUUGAAAGGGCAAAGUUAGUCGAACGCAACAUCUGAUUAGCUAUAUAGUAUGAUUCUGAUUUCCCAAAGUUUAUGGUGUUGAAGAUUUGUUUCAUAUCUUACUAUGGAGUUCAAGAAAAUAAUAAAAUAAAUUUUAGAUGUGACUA